CUUCAAAACGUUAUAAUCAUAAUAUAAUAUGAUAUAAUAUAAUAAUUAUCAAAAACGUCCAUAAUUAUUAUUGAAUGUUUAAUAUAAUAAUUAUCAUUCUAAAUAUUUAGUUAGAAUUUUGUAUCAAUAUAUAAUUAAUAUAUACGAACAUUGUGGACAAUUAGCGUCUAUGAUAAUCCUAAAGAUUUGUCAGAUAAAAUAAAUUACGGUUUUUAAAUAUAAAAACAACAUGAGUAAAUACUUAAUACUUUAUUAAUUAUUUAGUUUAUUUCAUCAAUAUGUUGUGUGCACAAGCCCGUUAUCUAACGAAAUUGGUGAAGUUUUAUAACAUAAGUAAUACAUUAUUAUCAGUGUUAGGCAUUAUCUAGGUAUAGAUACAAAAUUAAUUAUGUUUUACUUAAUCUAGAUAGUUAACAAUGAAUAAUUGAAUUAUCUAAACUAAUUUAUCUAAAUCGAUUAAUAGUCUUAUGUACUAAUUUUAAAACGUGCGCUUUUAUUCUUAAUAAAAAUAAAAUAUAAUAUUCAAGUUGAAAUCAAAUUGAAAACCCAAUCUACAAAAAUAAAUAUCGGAUAAUAGUAUAAUUG
Cinara cedri is the source of this 585-nucleotide non-coding RNA. The record is from the annotation of a GenBank genome assembly. Lineage: Eukaryota; Metazoa; Arthropoda; Insecta; Hemiptera; Aphididae.